This 1576-nucleotide long non-coding RNA is filed under the name Sus scrofa (pig). Its description in RNAcentral is "lncRNA (ENSSSCG00040062105.1)". The record is from RNAcentral. Lineage: Eukaryota; Metazoa; Chordata; Mammalia; Artiodactyla; Suidae.
UUGGAGUUCCCAUCGUGGCUCAGUGGUUAACGAAUCCGACUAGGACCAUGAGGUUGUGGGUUCAAUCCCUGGCCUUGCUCAGUGGGUUAAGGAUCCGGCAUUGCCGUGAGCCAUGGUGUAGGUCAAAGAUAGGGCUUGGGAUCCCGUGUGGCUGUGGCUGUGGUGUAGGCCAGUGACUACAGCUCUGAUUCAACCCCUAGCCUGGGAACCUCCACGUGCCGUGGGUGUGGCCCUAGAAAAGACAGAAAAAAAAGAAAGAAAAGAAAUAGCUCAGUCCCUGCCUUCAAGGUGCUCAGGGUUGGCCGAAGAAAUAAAAAACAAUUUUAUACAGAACUCCGCCAGAGUACAGCACACCUGACUCCUGAUACUGCAACCAAGGAGCAUCAGUACUGAAGUGUCUAUUUGCCUGAUGCACAGCAAAGCCCAACAACACUGAACCAUCAGGGUUAGAAGCCAAGAAAAUUUAUUUCAGGGCCAUGUAAGGACAUGGACGGCUCAGGCCCCAAAGCCUGAAGCUCCCUGAAAGCUUUCAGGAAAGCCCUUUCAAAGGCAGAGUGAGGGAGGGUCUUGGUUAGUUGUUGCAAAUUUCUUUGUGUCCAAUCCUUUGUUCUUGGAGCUCCAGGCAUAGGUCAGGUCAUGUUGUUCUUGAAAACCUCCAACAAAACAGAUGUUAUUCUCUGUUCUGCAACUUUUUGUUUUUGGUGUGUGUGUGGUGGUGGGGGGAUUGUUUUUGUUUUCUUAACAGCUGUACCCAACACCCAUAGAAGUUCCCCCAGCUAAGUGUCAAUCAGAACUGCCGCUGCAGGCCUGUACCACAGCCAUAGCGACACUGAAUCUGAGCUUCAUCUGUGCCCUGUGCCAUAGCUUGUUCCAACUUGGGAUCCUUAGCCUACUGAGAGAGGCCAGGGAUCAAACCUGCAUCCUUACAGACACUAUGUUGGGUUCUUAAGGAGCUGUGCCACUAUGGGAACUCCUGGUUCUGCAACUUUUUAUCUAAAAAUGUAAUACACUUAAGGGUCAGACCUUGUAUAUUUCAGGCUGUAGGCAGCAUUCUUUUGCAAAAAGUGCAGAGCCGAGAUGACUAAGCACAAGGGACCCAGGUCAAGACCGAGGUCAAAAGCUAAAGUAAGAUUGAAAUAAAAGUAACAGGGAGUUUCCAUCAUGGCUCAGUGGUUAACAAACCCGACUAGUAACCAUGAGGUUGUGGGUUCUGAUCCCUGGCCCCGUUCAGCUGGUUAAGGAUCCGGCAUUGCUGUGAGCUGUGGUUUAGGUCACAGACAGGGCUUGGAUCCCGAUGCGUGGCUGUGGUGUAGCUCCAAUUCGACCCCCAGCCUGGGAACCCCCGCGAAAGACAAAAAAGUGAAUAAAUAAAAUAAAAGGAAUAGGAGUUCCAGUCCUGGCUCAGCGGAAACAAAUCUGACUAAUAUCCAUGAGGAUGUGGAUUAUAAGGAUCCAGUGUUCCCAUGAGCCGUAGUGUAGGUUGCAGAUGCAACUUGGAUCUGGCUUCAUUGGGUGAGCUGCUGUGGCUGUGAUUCAACCCCUAGCCUGGGAACCUCCAUGUGCUGUGGGUAUGGCC